Long non-coding RNA from Oreochromis niloticus (Nile tilapia), 2246 nucleotides. RefSeq lists it as uncharacterized. Lineage: Eukaryota; Metazoa; Chordata; Actinopteri; Cichliformes; Cichlidae. The record is from RefSeq and is a predicted model, not a curated record. The transcript is spliced from 3 exons.
UCAACCACCUCUGCUAUUGGUCUUAACAACAACAAGGCGGGAAGGGUUUUGGGAUGUGAUCAUUAGAACAGUAAGCAACACUGCAGAAGUGGAAAAAAGUAUUUGCAUUCUUUAAAAAACAAAGUUGCACAUAUAGUAUCACAGGAUAUAAAAGGAAACUUUCUUACUCCUUGGGCUUGUGAUGAAUUUUGGGCCUAACAUUGGUGAACUGAGACAUGUCUGGUUUUAAUCAACCACCUCCAAGGUUAUUCUUCAGGGCUGCAUAAAGUAAUUUAUAUUUAAGUUAAAAAAUCCUUUAAAGCAAUUGCAUGUGCUGUAAAGAGCAGGCAUUUUGGAUCUGUAGUCUGGUGUCUGCUGUUACUGUAAACAGCUCUUUUGGCGCCCUUGGGUAACGGAAAGUCUGCUAAAUUCAAGACUGAAGGACACCUAAAUGUCACUGACCCCUUUUGUAAGCUUUUGGUGGCCACACCCAAAGCUCUAUCCUGAUUGGAGGCUUCCAGGUGAUUUCUGUCCAACAAUCAUAUUGAUGGCUACCUGGGGGCCUUCAGGAGAUUUCGUGUGAGAAGACGAUCUCGCCAAGUGAGAUGUUGUCAGGAGAGCAGAGAAAAUGCAUAGAAGAGAAAACCCUUCAGGCAGUCGUUGGAAAAACCAUCCAUCCCCUGAGGAAUGCUGGUCUCUGCCAGAGAAAACAACAUAGAGCAAUCUUUGUGUUUGAAACAAAAGCCUGGGCUUUCCCAUAACAAUGCCAAAUCAUCUGUAUCCACUAUUCCCUUGAGAUCCACCUCUAGUGUGACAAUAAACACGAACUUGCCCCCAAGAAAGUGAGAAAAGGCUAACAUUUCCACUGAAUCCAGUGAUACAAAACAAACAAACAUGGACAGGUGGGUUGGGUCAAAAGACCUCUUCCCCUUCGCAGAGUUGCCUGAUACCUUGAUGAGGAUGGAUUUUCUCUUCCUUCUGCUUCCUGAGGCAAAGGGGUGCAAAUGAGUCAGUCUUCCAAGUAAGGAAUAUUUGCACUCCUCAGGAACAAUCUUCUUAGUGCUCAUGCAUCUUGUAAAGACGUAGUUUGCCUAUGACAGGCUAAAAUGAAGGACAGCAAGGCGAUAUGCUUGCCCUUGAAGGACAAUGUAAACAUAUUCCUUGUGUUUUGGAAGAAUGGAAGUACAAAAUAUUUUUUUUAAUCUAUGGAGGCAAACCACUAGCCUGAAAUAAACACCUAAAAAGAUUCUGAUCUUUUCUUCUUCCUGUGUCAGAAUAUAUGUCGAAUAAAAUGCUUUUUCAGCUUCUGCCCUCAAAAUAACUGACCAGCCAGUGUUUGAUAGCAAUCAUCAGACUCCCAUGAUGUCAUAUGACAGCAAGGCUGGAUACCAAAUGCUCUGCUUCGCUGGUCAUCACUCCAAAGACAUGGAUUACUUCCUCACUUCCUCUAAUAAUCUUCCUGCAUGCUGUAGUUGUGACAUUCUUGGCAGCGCUGCCAUAAUUAUUUAAAGAAGGCUAUCGCUUACCAAAGAUUAAAGCAUGAGACAACAGGCUUGUUCCUAAGAAGCAAGACACUGAUCCAGGUCGCGUAUAUGGAAACCAGGAAAUCUGAACUGUGAACAAGCCACAGGAAAUGAUCCAAACUCCAAGCAGACCGACUUUCAAAGAUGCACACAGAUACGCAUCUAAAUAGGAACAUCACCAUACAGUUAGUCUGUCACACUGAAUACCCAGUGUGGAUCUGAAGCUGAUGUAGGCCUGAGGUAAACUGCAAAGCUUGGAUCAGAUUCUCCAACCAUUCUGCUAGUUCACAGCACAGAUAAAUAAGCAAAGACAGACGCUAUUAUCUAGCCCUUUUCUCUUCUACUUCUUCCAGCUGCUCUAUUUGGGUUCACCACAGAUGUACUCAUUUCUGAUUUUGUCCAUUCUAGUCAAUGAAGACCUCCAGCUCAGCCUCUUGUCUUUUUGUCAGUACCACUGUCUACAAACCAUACAUCAUAGCCGGUCUCACUACUAUCUUCCCUUUCACUUCUGCUGCUAUCUUUCUGUCACAAAUCACCCCAGACACUCAUCUCCACCCACUCCACCCAGCAUUCACACUCUUUUUCUCCUCUCUUGUGAACUAUCUGUCGCUAUGUAUGGUUGACCACCUGAUGUAUUCCAACCCCCACCUUGAACUUAUUUUUCACUCCAACCAAAGCAACAUCACACACAUAAAGACUUUUAUCUAAAAUUCACAGUCCAGUGGGUACAUCAAGGACAACUCG